UGCGGUUAAAAUGCUCGUAGUUUAAUUUCUGCUGAGGGUAAUCGGUCCACCCACUGGGUGAGUAAUUGUUUGCCCUUUGCAUUUUGUGAACAAUGCAUCUGCACUUGAUUGUGCUGUGUGUCCUGCUCAUGCAAUUUACUUUGAGGAAAUUAAAGUGUUUCGAGCAUGCAUAUGCACCGAGCACAUUAGCAUGGAAUAAUUACACUGAUCGUCGCUGUAUUUGUUGGUUUUUAGGGCUUCGAUAAUGACUGAUAGGGAUAAUUGGUGGUAUUCGCAUUUAAUAGUCAGAGGUGAAAUUCUUGGAUUUGUUAAAGACGAACUGCUGCGAAAGCAUUUGCCAACUAUGUUUUCAUUGAUCAAGAACUAAAGUUAGGGGAUCGAAGACGAUCAGAUACCGUCCUAGUCCUAACAAUAAACAAUGCCGACUAGGAAUUGAAGGUUGUCAAUUGCAUGACUCCUCCAGCAUCUUAUGACAAAUCAAAGUAUUUGGGUUCCGGGGGGAGUAUGGUCGCAAGGCUGAAACUUAAAGGAAUUGACGGAAGGGCACCACCAGGAGUGGAGCCUGCGGCUUAAUUUGACUCAACACGGGGAAACUUAUCAGGUCCCGACAUAAUAAGGAUUGACUAAU
Molecule: ribosomal RNA, 628 nt
Filed under: uncultured marine eukaryote
Lineage: Eukaryota
Description: bacterial SSU rRNA
Rfam family: Eukaryotic small subunit ribosomal RNA
Source: RNAcentral